Molecule: long non-coding RNA, 727 nt
Organism: Salvia splendens (bonfire salvia)
Lineage: Eukaryota; Viridiplantae; Streptophyta; Magnoliopsida; Lamiales; Lamiaceae
Exons: 4
Source: RefSeq, a predicted model, not a curated record
AUCACGCCAUAAUUCAUAAAGCGUUUCCAAAGGCAAAUUGUUCAUCUUUACCAACCGAAUUGUCCUUUCCCUUCUCUCACUAAACAUUUUACUCAUUCAUUGUCGCAAAUACAUUAGUAUUCCUGCACUCACAGGUAUUAUAUUUAUAACCAAGUUACUAUGGAGACAGCACCCAACAUGAUGUGAAGAUUUGCCACGAACAAUACAUUAGAGAUGAUCGAUGAACAAUACAUUAGAGAUGAGCAAUGCGUCUAAACUGACAACGAUGAGGUUGUUGCACAUGCUCUUCUACAAGAAGUCACAAUUUUCAAUUCAAGAACAUCCCCAAUGAUCACAUUCUGGGGAGGAAUACUUGCAAGAUUCCUUUGUCGCCUCAGAUUGGCAUUCUUCUUCAAAUAAGUAUUACGCAGAUUAUUGUUGUAUGACUUGAUUGAGAACAAAUCAAGGAGAUGGAAAUUGGCAGUUUCGCGUUUUAUCUGGUCAGUGCUAUCGGGGCCGAGAAUACCACAAAUUUGUUCGACAGCAAGUUGUCCGCGAGGUUGGUUUAGAGACAAAAGGAUAUCAUUUUAUUGUCUUUCCCUUAUUUUCAUACGUCUUGGAGGUUUAAGUUUGUAAGCGUAAGCUCAAGUGCUCCUGUUUGUUGAAUUUGCCGUCUACUUGAAUAGGAUAUCCAUGUAUACUUCAUUUAUCUCAAUAAUUUUAUUACCUUCUAUUUUGACCACAUGAA